RNAcentral lists this ribosomal RNA (253 nucleotides) under uncultured bacterium. RNAcentral describes it as "partial 16S ribosomal RNA". It matches the Rfam family "Bacterial small subunit ribosomal RNA", at positions 524 to 776 of the family's 1533-position model. The record is from RNAcentral.
UACGGGGGGGGCAAGCGUUGUUCGGAAUUACUGGGCGUAAAGGGCUCGUAGGCGGCCAACUAAGUCAGACGUGAAAUCCCCAGGCUCAACCUGAGAACUGCGUCUGAUACUGGAUGGCUUGAAUCCGGGAGAGGGAUGCAGAAUUCCAGGUGUAGCGGUGAAAUGCGUAGAUAUCUGGAGGAAUACCGGUGGCGAAGGCGGCAUCCUGGACCGGCAUUGACGCUGAGGAGCGAAAGCUAGGGGAGCAAACGGG